GUAGGUGAACCUGCGGAAGGAUCAUUAACACGUAUCCAACGUUAAACCCCCCUGUGGACUUUCAGCCUGCUCUUGUAGCUUGUAUGGUUAAGCAGCAAUCUCGGUAAAUCAAGUGGGAGAAACAGUUCUGAUCCGAGACAUCUGCACCAUAUGGGUUAUGAUUGAAGCGGUAGAAGCAGUGGCAUGGCGUCCUAAGCCUCCAGUGAAUGAAAGCGUCACUGGAACAAGUGAGGGAUAACGCUUAUUCGGUUGCUAGAGGUCGCUCACCGACCGGCAGACAUGUCACAGGGCCUUGCGCCCCUUAACCACCCCAUUCCCAAUGCAUCAGCCCGGGGCGAAAGUCCGAGGCCUAAAAAACCGAACAACUGUUGACAAUGGAUAUCUUGGUUCUC
RNAcentral lists this unclassified non-coding RNA (392 nucleotides) under rhizosphere metagenome. Its description in RNAcentral is "partial ribosomal RNA internal transcribed spacer region". The record is from RNAcentral.